GUCAGGAUAGCUCAGUAGGUAGAGCAGAGGACUGAAAAUC
This 40-nucleotide transfer RNA is filed under the name Anthochortus crinalis. RNAcentral describes it as "partial tRNA-Phe". The record is from RNAcentral. Lineage: Eukaryota; Viridiplantae; Streptophyta; Magnoliopsida; Poales; Restionaceae.